ACGCUAGCUACAGGCUUAACACAUGCAAGUCGAGGGGAAACGACAUUGAAGCUUGCUUCGAUGGGCGUCGACCGGCGCACGGGUGAGUAACGCGUAUCCAACCUGCCUCUGACUAAGGGAUAACCCGGCGAAAGUCGGACUAAUACCUUAUGAGGUUUUCAGCAGACAUCUAACGAAAACGAAAGAUUUAUCGGUCAGUGAUGGGGAUGCGUCUGAUUAGCUUGUUGGCGGGGUAACGGCCCACCAAGGCAACGAUCAGUAGGGGUUCUGAGAGGAAGGUCCCCCACACUGGAACUGAGACACGGUCCAAACUCCUACGGGAGGCAGCAGUGAGGAAUAUUGGUCAAUGGGCGAGAGCCUGAACCAGCCAAGUAGCGUGCAGGAUGACGGCCCUAUGGGUUGUAAACUGCUUUUAUGUGGGGAUAAAGUGAGCUACGUGUAGUUUAUUGCAGGUACCACAUGAAUAAGGACCGGCUAAUUCCGUGCCAGCAGCCGCGGUAAUACGGAAGGUCCAGGCGUUAUCCGGAUUUAUUGGGUUUAAAGGGAGCGUAGGCCGUGGAUUAAGCGUGUUGUGAAAUGUAGACGCUCAACGUCUGAAUUGCAGCGCGAACUGGUUCACUUGAGUAUGCACAACGUAGGCGGAAUUCGUCGUGUAGCGGUGAAAUGCUUAGAUAUGACGAAGAACUCCGAUUGCGAAGGCAGCUUACGGGAGCACAACUGACGCUGAAGCUCGAAGGUGCGGGUAUCAAACAGGAUUAGAUACCCUGGUAGUCCGCACAGUAAACGAUGGAUGCCCGUUGUUAGUUCACUUAUGAAUUAGCGACCAAGCGAAAGCAUUAAGCAUCCCACCUGGGGAGUACGCCGGCAACGGUGAAACUCAAAGGAAUUGACGGGGGCCCGCACAAGCGGAGGAACAUGUG
RNAcentral lists this ribosomal RNA (920 nucleotides) under uncultured bacterium. Its description in RNAcentral is "bacterial SSU rRNA". It matches the Rfam family "Bacterial small subunit ribosomal RNA", at positions 33 to 943 of the family's 1533-position model. The record is from RNAcentral.